GCGAGGAUGGCGGAACUGGCAGACGCGCUAGAUUCAGGUUCUAGUGGCCGCAAGGCUGUAUGGGUUCAAAUCCCUUUCCUCGCA
This 84-nucleotide transfer RNA is filed under the name Acetivibrio thermocellus ATCC 27405. Its description in RNAcentral is "Clostridium thermocellum ATCC 27405 tRNA". It matches the Rfam family "tRNA". From Rfam's summary of the family: Transfer RNA (tRNA) molecules are approximately 80 nucleotides in length. Their secondary structure includes four short double-helical elements and three loops (D, anti-codon, and T loops). The record is from Rfam by way of RNAcentral. Lineage: Bacteria; Bacillati; Bacillota; Clostridia; Acetivibrionales; Acetivibrionaceae.